GAUCCUGGCUCAGGAUGAACGCUAGCGACAGGCUUAACACAUGCAAGUCGAGGGGCAGCACAGGGUAGCAAUACUUGGGUGGCGACCGGCGCACGGGUGAGUAACGCGUAUGCAACUUACCUAUCAGAGGGGGAUAGCCCGGCGAAAGUCGGAUUAAUACUCCAUAAAACAGGGGUUCCGCAUGGGACUAUUUGUUAAAGAUUCAUCGCUGAUAGAUAGGCAUGCGUUCCAUUAGG
RNAcentral lists this ribosomal RNA (236 nucleotides) under uncultured bacterium. RNAcentral's name for it is "partial 16S ribosomal RNA". It matches the Rfam family "Bacterial small subunit ribosomal RNA", at positions 15 to 245 of the family's 1533-position model. The record is from RNAcentral.